UUUUUUUGUUUUGAAAUUUAAUGAUUUUGUUGCAAAGUCAUCAGCCGAUGAUACGUCCAUUUUGCAUCAUGUUUUCAUGUUGAUAUUUAUCGCUUCUUGGGCUGUUAUUUCACUUCACGAUACAAUUCUUAUGCAUUUUCUCUCUUAUUUUGCAAGGUUUACAUGAAGAGGGAGAAUGCCGGCAACUGGAAUUCUGGCCUGAAAGUGGAGCAAAGUUGAGAUACCUAUUCUAUGCAACUCCAAACGCCGUAAAAAUCAACGAGGAUUUUUUUCCUGAUUUAUCAGAAAUACUGGGCCGAAGAAGUGGC
Molecule: long non-coding RNA, 308 nt
Filed under: Hordeum vulgare
Lineage: Eukaryota; Viridiplantae; Streptophyta; Magnoliopsida; Poales; Poaceae
Description: long non-coding RNA (HVUL_LNC010302)
Source: RNAcentral